Molecule: long non-coding RNA, 1386 nt
Organism: Lycium barbarum (goji berry)
Lineage: Eukaryota; Viridiplantae; Streptophyta; Magnoliopsida; Solanales; Solanaceae
Exons: 3
Source: RefSeq, a predicted model, not a curated record
GCUAAUGUAUUGGGACCAGACUUGGUACAAGAAGCUAUUGACAAGGUCCAGUUAAUUAGACAGAGGUUGCUCACGGCUCAAAGCAGACAAAAGUCUUAUGCGGAUAAGAGAAGAAGAGAUUUAGUGUUCACAGUUGGGGACAAAGUUUUCUUGCGAGUCUCUCCUAUGAAAGGUGUGAUGCGAUUCGGAAAAAGAGGUAAAUUGAGUCCGAGAUUUAUAGAACCAUAUGAGAUACUUGAGCGCGUAGGAGGGGUAGCUUAUCGUUUGGCACUUCCUCUUGAGAUGUCUUUUAUCCAUCCAAUGUUUCAUGUUUCUAUGCUAAGAAAAUGCAUAUCAGACCCUUCUCGUGUGCUGGAAGCACCGACUAUAACGCUUGAUGAGAACUUGACGUAUGAGGAGGAGCCAGUGGCUAUUGUUGACAGACAAGAAAGGAAGUUAUGGUCAAAAGAAAUUGUGUCCGUGAAAGUCUUAUGGAGAAAUCAUGCCAUUGAAGAAGCUACUUGGGAGUCCGAGAACGAUAUGCGAGCCAAGUAUCCCCACUUGUUUCAGUCUAUAGGUAUGCUCUUAUUUUAAAUUCGGGGACCGAAUUUCUUAAGGUGGAGAGAAUGUAAUAUCCUAUAUUUAAGUGUAGGUAUUUAAUUAAUUAAACUUAAAACAAAAAAAACAAAAAAGAAUAAAGGGCAUGUUGGGCCGCAGCCCUUAAAUGAAAAAAAAAAAAAAAAAAAAAAAAAGAGGAGACAAUGGGCCUUGGCUAUCAGAUACGUAAUAAGGAAAUAAGGGCAAAAUGUGAAGAGAUGUGAGUUGAAGUUUGGGCAGCCACUUUAGAAAAGAAAAAAAAAAUAGAACCUACACCAUUUUAAAAAAAUAAUAAUAAUAACCCCUGAGGCAAAGUUAGAAAUAGAAGCAGAAGCUUCAUCCGGAUUCAACAUUCCUUCCGCCUUUCUUCAACUUCAGUUAUCAAUUCAAGAUUCACACACGAAUUGAGCAGUUUGGAUCGAUAAAGAGUCGAGCUUUGGUUAGUUGGCAUCGAGAGAGACCGCAGGUGACGUUGGUGAGGAUUACGGUAACUAGAGAGCACGAGUUGAAAGUUCCUGGUGAGCCCGCACUUGUCCACGUGGGCCAAGAUUGUAUUAUCCAUGAUGGUCUUUUUUUUUGAAUUCUUAGAGUUGCUCCAUAGUCAUUUGAUUUAUUCCAUGAGUAUUCUUUAUUCAUUAUAGACUGGUGACUAGUAUUAGGCGUUUUUCCCGUAUUUCAGAGAUGUUUUAGUAUUAUUACGUUGAAAACGGGUUGAUUGAGGAUGAUUGCAUUUAGUUUGGUUGAGAUUGGAUAUUUUUGUUGUUGAUUUUGAGACAGGAAAGUUUUGGAUAGUCAUAAAAACAGGGGAAA